GACGAACGCUGGCGGCGUGCCUAAUACAUGCAAGUCGAGCGAAGUUUUUCUGGUGCUUGCACUAGAAAAACUUAGCGGCGAACGGGUGAGUAACACGUAAAGAACCUGCCUCAUAGACUGGGACAACUAUUGGAAACGAUAGCUAAUACCGGAUAACAGUAUUUCUCGCAUGAGAGAUAUUUAAAAGUUGGUUAUGCUAACACUAUGAGAUGGCUUUGCGGUGCAUUAGCUAGUUGGUGGGGUAAAGGCCCACCAAGGCGACGAUGCAUAGCCGACCUGAGAGGGUGAGCGGCCACACUGGGACUGAGACACGGCCCAGACUCCUACGGGAGGCAGCAGUAGGGAAUCUUCCGCAAUGGGCGAAAGCCUGACGGAGCAACGCCGCGUGAGUGAAGAAGGAUUUCGGUUCGUAAAGCUCUGUUGUUAGGGAAGAAUGGAUAUGUAGUAACUAUACAUGUAAGAGACGGUACCUAACCAGAAAGCCACGGCUAACUACGUG
This 499-nucleotide ribosomal RNA is filed under the name uncultured bacterium. RNAcentral's name for it is "partial 16S ribosomal RNA". It matches the Rfam family "Bacterial small subunit ribosomal RNA", at positions 28 to 507 of the family's 1533-position model. The record is from RNAcentral.